RNAcentral lists this ribosomal RNA (1023 nucleotides) under Ophiocordyceps khonkaenensis. Its description in RNAcentral is "SSU rRNA". It matches the Rfam family "Eukaryotic small subunit ribosomal RNA", at positions 69 to 1105 of the family's 1831-position model. The record is from RNAcentral. Lineage: Eukaryota; Fungi; Ascomycota; Sordariomycetes; Hypocreales; Ophiocordycipitaceae.
GCAAUUAUACGGCGAACUGCGAAUGGCUCAUUAUAUAAGUUAUCGUUUAUUUGAUAGCACCUUACUACUUGGAUAACCGUGGUAAUUCUAGAGCUAAUACAUGCUGAAAAUCCCGACUUCGGAAGGGAUGUAUUUAUUAGAUUAAAAACCAAUGCCCUCUGGGCUCUCUGGUGAUUCAUGAUAACUUCUCGAAUCGCAUGGCCUUGCGCCGGCGAUGGUUCAUUCAAAUUUCUUCCCUAUCAACUUUCGAUGUUUGGGUAGUGGCCAAACAUGGUGGCAACGGGUAACGGAGGGUUAGGGCUCGGCCCCGGAGAAGGAGCCUGAGAAACGGCUACUACAUCCAAGGAAGGCAGCAGGCGCGCAAAUUACCCAAUCCCGACACGGGGAGGUAGUGACAAUAAAUACUGAUACAGGGCUCUUUUGGGUCUUGUAAUUGGAAUGAGUACAAUUUAAAUCCCUUAACGAGGAACAAUUGGAGGGCAAGUCUGGUGCCAGCAGCCGCGGUAAUUCCAGCUCCAAUAGCGUAUAUUAAAGUUGUUGUGGUUAAAAAGCUCGUAGUUGAACCUUGGGCCUGGCUGGCCGGUCCGCCUCACCGCGUGCACUGGUCCGGCCGGGCCUUUCCCCCUGCGGAACCCCAUGCCCUUCACUGGGCGUGGCGGGGAAACAGGACUUUUACUUUGAAAAAAUUAGAGUGCUCCAGGCAGGCCUAUGCUCGAAUACAUUAGCAUGGAAUAAUAAAAUAGGACGUGCGGUUCUAUUUUGUUGGUUUCUAGGACCGCCGUAAUGAUUAAUAGGGACAGUCGGGGGCAUCAGUAUUCAAUUGUCAGAGGUGAAAUUCUUGGAUUUAUUGAAGACUAGCUACUGCGAAAGCAUUUGCCAAGGAUGUUUUCAUUAAUCAGGAACGAAAGUUAGGGGAUCGAAGACGAUCAGAUACCGUCGUAGUCUUAACCAUAAACUAUGCCGACUAGGGAUCGGACGAUGUUAUCUUUUGACUCGUUCGGCACCUUACGAGAAAUCAAAGUG